GACGAACGCUGGCGGCGUGCUUAACACAUGCAAGUCGAACGGAAAGGCCCUGCUUUUGUGGGGUGCUCGAGUGGCGAACGGGUGAGUAACACGUGAGUAACCUGCCCUUGACUUUGGGAUAACUUCAGGAAACUGGGGCUCAUACCGGAUAGGAGCUCUUGCUGCAUGGUGGGGGUUGGUAAGUUUCGGCGGUUGGGGAUGGACUCGCGGCUUAUCAGCUUGUUGGUGGGGUAGUGGCUUACCAAGGCUUUGACGGAUAGCCGGCCUGAGAGGGUGACCGGCCACAAGGGGACUGAGAUACGGCCCAGACUCGUACGGGAGGCAGCAGUGGAGAAUAUUGCACAAUGGGCGGAAGCCUGAUGCAGCAACGCCGCGUGCGGGAUGACGGCCUUCGGGUUGUGAACCGCUUUCGCCUGAGACGAAGCGGGAGUGACGGUAAUGAGUAAAGAAGCACCGGCUAACUACGUG
RNAcentral lists this ribosomal RNA (468 nucleotides) under uncultured bacterium. RNAcentral's name for it is "partial 16S ribosomal RNA". It matches the Rfam family "Bacterial small subunit ribosomal RNA", at positions 28 to 507 of the family's 1533-position model. The record is from RNAcentral.